This 207-nucleotide long non-coding RNA is filed under the name Vigna radiata. RNAcentral describes it as "long non-coding RNA (VRAD_LNC005466)". Lineage: Eukaryota; Viridiplantae; Streptophyta; Magnoliopsida; Fabales; Fabaceae. The record is from RNAcentral.
GGGUAGAGGAAUUUAUACAAUUUGCACAACGUAAUGAGGGUACAAGUGAUGAUGAAGUGAAGUUUAGAUGUCCUUGUGUGAAUUGUUUGAAUGCGAGAAAGUUGAACGCAACCUAAAUUAGAGAACAUCUUAUCUGUGAUGGUUUCCUAAGAUACUAUACAAUAUGGAUAUGGCACGAAGAAGAAACACACUUUCCGACUGACUCCC